Mastomys coucha (southern multimammate mouse) is the source of this 163-nucleotide small nuclear RNA. RefSeq annotates it as U1 spliceosomal RNA. The transcript has a single exon. Lineage: Eukaryota; Metazoa; Chordata; Mammalia; Rodentia; Muridae. The record is from RefSeq and is a predicted model, not a curated record.
AUAUUGCCUGGCAGGAGAGAGAUGGUUAUCAUACAACUGACUUUCCUGGGGUGACGAUUAUCCAUUGCUUUCCAGAUGUGCUAACCCUGUGAUUUCCCCAGCUGGGAGACACUCAGCUACAUAUUUUGUGGUAGCAGGGAAACAGUGGUCAUCCUCUCUCCUA